CGCUGGCGGCGUGCUUAACACAUGCAAGUCGAGCGGUAAGGCCCGUUUCGGGGGUACACGAGCGGCGAACGGGUGAGUAACACGUGAGUAAUCUGCCCUUCACGUUCGGGAUAAGCACCGGAAACGGUGUCUAAUACUGGAUAUGAGCAUCCUGCGCAUGGUGGGUGUUGGUAAAGUUUUUCGGUGGGGGAUGUGCUCGCGGCCUAUCAGCUUGUUGGUGAGGUAAUGGCUCACCAAGGCUUCGACGGUAGCCGGCCUGAGAGGGUGACCGGUCACACUGGGACUGAGACACGGCCCAGACUCCUACGGGAGGCAGCAGUGGGGAAUAUUGGACAAUGGGCGGAAGCCUGAUCCAGCAACGCCGCGUGAGGGAUGACGGCCUUCGGGUUGUAAACCUCUUUCAGUACUGACGAAGCGCAAGUGACGGUAGGUACAGAAGAAGCACCGGCCAACUACGUG
RNAcentral lists this ribosomal RNA (459 nucleotides) under uncultured bacterium. RNAcentral's name for it is "bacterial SSU rRNA". It matches the Rfam family "Bacterial small subunit ribosomal RNA", at positions 34 to 507 of the family's 1533-position model. The record is from RNAcentral.